CAUGCAGCAAGCAGCCUGGGUCCAGAAACCCGACACAGAACAUCUUCAUCAAGGACCACAAUCUCCACACUGGUUUUGGGCUUGCAGCCAGAUAGAUCUCCUCCUCUGGCGCGACUCAAGACAGGAAGCCGAUGAAAGAAUAGGGGGACCCACGAGGAGCCGAUGCAGGAGCCGAGACAGAAGCUACUGAAGACGUUAGAAGUUAUUGUUUCUGAUUGCGAGAGUCCCCACUGGCAACAGUUAUAUCGUUAAUUGUGAUGUCACAGAGCAGGUAGGGGAUCUCCACUACAGACUCUUGUGGCCAGUAAACAAUAAAACAAUGUGGUUG
Molecule: long non-coding RNA, 328 nt
Organism: Poecilia latipinna (sailfin molly)
Lineage: Eukaryota; Metazoa; Chordata; Actinopteri; Cyprinodontiformes; Poeciliidae
Exons: 2
Source: RefSeq, a predicted model, not a curated record